GUAGGUGAACCUACGGAAGGAUCAUUACAAUAAUCACCCGGAGCGCCGCAAGGCCUCCCGGGUAACCUACCACCCUUUGUUUAUUACACUUUGUUGCUUUGGCAGGCCUGCCCUCGGGCUGCUGGCUCCGGCCGGCGAGCGCUUGCCAGAGGACCUAAACUCUGUUUGUCUAUACUGUCUGAGUACUAUAUAAUAGUUAAAACUUUCAACAACGGAUCUCUUGGUUCUG
Molecule: unclassified non-coding RNA, 229 nt
Filed under: rhizosphere metagenome
Description: partial ribosomal RNA internal transcribed spacer region
Source: RNAcentral